This 623-nucleotide ribosomal RNA is filed under the name Staphylococcus warneri. Its description in RNAcentral is "bacterial SSU rRNA". It matches the Rfam family "Bacterial small subunit ribosomal RNA", at positions 70 to 678 of the family's 1533-position model. The record is from RNAcentral. Lineage: Bacteria; Bacillati; Bacillota; Bacilli; Caryophanales; Staphylococcaceae.
GAUAAGGAGCUUGCUCCUUUGACGUUAGCGGCGGACGGGUGAGUAACACGUGGAUAACCUACCUAUAAGACUGGGAUAACUUCGGGAAACCGGAGCUAAUACCGGAUAACAUAUUGAACCGCAUGGUUCAAUAGUGAAAGGCGGCUUUGCUGUCACUUAUAGAUGGAUCCGCGCCGUAUUAGCUAGUUGGUAAGGUAACGGCUUACCAAGGCAACGAUACGUAGCCGACCUGAGAGGGUGAUCGGCCACACUGGAACUGAGACACGGUCCAGACUCCUACGGGAGGCAGCAGUAGGGAAUCUUCCGCAAUGGGCGAAAGCCUGACGGAGCAACGCCGCGUGAGUGAUGAAGGUCUUCGGAUCGUAAAACUCUGUUAUCAGGGAAGAACAAAUGUGUAAGUAACUGUGCACAUCUUGACGGUACCUGAUCAGAAAGCCACGGCUAACUACGUGCCAGCAGCCGCGGUAAUACGUAGGUGGCAAGCGUUAUCCGGAAUUAUUGGGCGUAAAGCGCGCGUAGGCGGUUUUUUAAGUCUGAUGUGAAAGCCCACGGCUCAACCGUGGAGGGUCAUUGGAAACUGGAAAACUUGAGUGCAGAAGAGGAAAGUGGAACUCCAUGUGUAG